AUUGAACGCUGGCGGCAUGCCUUACACAUGCAAGUCGAACGGUAACAGGUCUUCGGGUGCUGACGAGUGGCGAACGGGUGAGUAAUACAUCGGAACGUACCCGGUCGUGGGGGAUAACGCAGCGAAAGCUGUGCUAAUACCGCAUGCGAUCUGAGGAUGAAAGCGGGGGAUCGUCGAGCAUCGCGCGGCCUCGGCGGCCGAUGGCAGAUUAGGUAGUUGGUGGGAUAAAGGCGUACCAAGCCGACGAUCUGUAGCUGGUCUGAGAGGAUGAGCAGCCACACUGGGACUGAGACACGGCCCAGACUCCUACGGGAGGCAGCAGUGGGGAAUUUUGGACAAUGGGCGAAAGCCUGAUCCAGCAAUGCCGCGUGCAGGAUGAAGGCCUUCGGGUUGUAAACCGCUUUUGGCAGGAACGAAACGGUGUCCGCUAAUACAGAGCGGUAAUGACGGUACCUGAAGAAUAAGCACCGGCUAACUACGUG
RNAcentral lists this ribosomal RNA (482 nucleotides) under uncultured bacterium. RNAcentral describes it as "partial 16S ribosomal RNA". It matches the Rfam family "Bacterial small subunit ribosomal RNA", at positions 29 to 507 of the family's 1533-position model. The record is from RNAcentral.